RNAcentral lists this signal recognition particle RNA (96 nucleotides) under Saprospiraceae bacterium. RNAcentral's name for it is "signal recognition particle sRNA small type". It matches the Rfam family "Bacteroidales small SRP". Rfam says of the family: The non-coding component of the signal recognition particle in Bacteroides The record is from RNAcentral. Lineage: Bacteria; Pseudomonadati; Bacteroidota; Saprospiria; Saprospirales; Saprospiraceae.
GGCGGAAACCAUGCGACCAGCUCCCUCCGAACUCCCCCAGGGCAGAAAUGCAGCAAGGGUAAGAGGUUGUAGCGGUGUGAUAUGGUUUCCUUUUUU